This is a non-coding RNA of Ictidomys tridecemlineatus (thirteen-lined ground squirrel), 73 nucleotides long. The record is from Rfam. NCBI's taxonomy places the organism in Eukaryota, Metazoa, Chordata, Mammalia, Rodentia, Sciuridae.
AGGGUUGUGGCUCAGUGGUAGAGCUGCUUGCCUAGCAUGCAUGAAGCACAGGGUUAGACCCCCUGCACCACAU